AUGCUCCCCGUCAGGGCCUGACCGCAACGUGACUCCAGCCGCCCUACUUUCUGGUCCAGGAGAAAAGAGCCACUCUGCCGGAGGAGAGAGAGGCUAAUUGUCUAGAGAGGCGCUGAAGGAGCAAAACUAAAUGAACUCUAAUUAGGACACGAUUAAGGCUAACUCUCACAGCUGUAAAAAUCCAUUAACCUUUAAUCGUACAGUUCAUCACACACUUGAGGUCUUAGGACUCACUCCUGGGACACUCUGCACAGCAAAGGAUCAGAGAUCAUUCAACUAUAAAAUGGUGUGGCUAACGUUAGCGUGCAAAAGACUGAGUGAAAAUAUAGUGUUGCAGCUGGAGUGUGUUGCUGCUAGAGCUCCUGCUGAAAAUGCACGACUCUUUUCUCCCUCAUCAGGACUCCAUGAUUCUACACCACCAGCAUCCAUGUCACCAAUCUCAACAUCUACCCCCACAAGGCCAAGAAAGAGAAAGAUGCAUCUGACGGCUGUGCAUGAGGCAAUAUUGGAGAGACUGGACAUGAAGAGAGAAUGAACAGGCAGAAUUAUGUCAGAUGGUCAGGGGGUUGCUGGGGAAGCUUCUGGAACAAAAAAAGGGUGGAUGCAAAAUUCAAAAUCACCACAU
Long non-coding RNA from Epinephelus fuscoguttatus (brown-marbled grouper), 625 nucleotides. RefSeq lists it as uncharacterized. Lineage: Eukaryota; Metazoa; Chordata; Actinopteri; Perciformes; Serranidae. The record is from RefSeq and is a predicted model, not a curated record. The transcript has 3 exons.